GUGAACGCUGGCGGUAGGCCUAACGCAUGCAAGUCGAACGGCAGCACAGUAAGAGCUUGCUCUUACGGGUGGCGAGUGGCGGACGGGUGAGGAAUACAUCGGAAUCUACUUUUUCGUGGGGGAUAACGUAGGGAAACUUACGCUAAUACCGCAUACGGCCUACGGGUGAAAGCAGGGGAUCUUCGGACCUUGCGCGAUUGAAUGAGCCGAUGUCGGAUUAGCUAGUUGGCGGGGUAAAGGCCCACCAAGGCGACGAUCCGUAGCUGGUCUGAGAGGAUGAUCAGCCACACUGGAACUGAGACACGGUCCAGACUCCUACGGGAGGCAGCAGUGGGGAAUAUUGGACAAUGGGCGCAAGCCUGAUCCAGCCAUACCGCGUGGGUGAAGAAGGCCUUCGGGUUGUAAAGCCCUUUUGUUGGGAAAGAAAAGCAGCAGGUUAAUACCCCGCUGUUCUGACGGUACCCAAAGAAUAAGCACCGGCUAACUUCGU
RNAcentral lists this ribosomal RNA (490 nucleotides) under uncultured bacterium. RNAcentral describes it as "partial 16S ribosomal RNA". It matches the Rfam family "Bacterial small subunit ribosomal RNA", at positions 29 to 506 of the family's 1533-position model. The record is from RNAcentral.